Molecule: ribosomal RNA, 274 nt
Filed under: uncultured bacterium
Lineage: Bacteria
Description: partial 16S ribosomal RNA
Rfam family: Bacterial small subunit ribosomal RNA
Source: RNAcentral
AUACGGAGGUGGCUAGCGUUGUUCGGAAUUACUGGGCGUAAAGCGUACGUAGGCGGACUGAUCAGUUGGGGGUGAAAUCCCAGGGCUUAACCCUGGAACUGCCUUCAAUACUGUCAGUCUUGAGAUUGGAAGAGGUGAGUGGAAUUCCUAGUGUAGAGGUGAAAUUCAUAGAUAUUAGGAGGAACACCAGUGGCGAAGGCGGCUCACUGGUCCAAUACUGACGCUGAGGUACGAAAGCGUGGGGAGCAAACAGGAUUAGAAACCCUAGUAGUCC